This 192-nucleotide small nuclear RNA is filed under the name Oncorhynchus kisutch (coho salmon). Its description in RNAcentral is "U2 spliceosomal RNA (ENSOKIG00005025869.1)". It matches the Rfam family "U2 spliceosomal RNA". Rfam says of the family: U2 is a small nuclear RNA (snRNA) component of the spliceosome (involved in pre-mRNA splicing). The record is from Rfam by way of RNAcentral. Lineage: Eukaryota; Metazoa; Chordata; Actinopteri; Salmoniformes; Salmonidae.
AUCGCUUCUCGGCAUUUUUGGCUCAGAUCAAGUGUAGUAUCUGUUCUUAUCAGUUUAAUAUCUGAUACGUCCCCCAUAGGGGGACUACAUAUUAAAUGGAUUUUUCGAACAGGGAGUCAGAAAUGGGGCUUGCUCCGUCCGCUCCACGCAUCGACCCGGUAUUGCAGUACCUCCGGGAACGGUGCAACACUU